UGGGGAAUAUUGGACAAUGGGCGGAAGCCUGAUCCAGCAACGCCGCGUGAGGGAUGACUGCCUUCGGGUUGUAAACCUCUUUCAUCAUUGACGAAGCUUCAACGUUGUUGGGGUGACGGUAGGUGGAGAAGAAGCACCGGCCAACUACGUGCCAGCAGCCGCGGUAAUACGUAGGGUGCGAGCGUUGUCCGGAAUUAUUGGGCGUAAAGGGCUCGUAGGCGGUUUGUCGCGUCGGGAGUGAAAACACUGGGCUUAACCGAGUGCUUGCUUUCGAUACGGGCAGACUAGAGGUAUGCAGGGGAGAACGGAAUUCCUGGUGUAGCGGUGAAAUGCGCAGAUAUCAGGAGGAACACCGGUGGCGAAGGCGGUUCUCUGGGCAUUACCUGACGCUGAGGAGCGAAAGUGUGGGGAGCGAACA
This 418-nucleotide ribosomal RNA is filed under the name uncultured Nocardioides sp. Its description in RNAcentral is "bacterial SSU rRNA". It matches the Rfam family "Bacterial small subunit ribosomal RNA", at positions 355 to 774 of the family's 1533-position model. Lineage: Bacteria; Bacillati; Actinomycetota; Actinomycetes; Propionibacteriales; Nocardioidaceae. The record is from RNAcentral.